CAAAAGCUUGGUCCUGACUUUACUGUCGAUUUUGAUUAAAUUUAUACAUGCAAGUUUCCGCACCCCUGUGAGAAUGCCCUACCUACCCCCACCCGGGAAAGAGGAGCCGGUAUCAGGCGCAACUCCCUGUUGGCCCACGACACCUUGCUUAGCCACACCCCCAAGGGAACCCAGCAGUAAUAAACAUUAAGCCAUAAGUGUAAACUUGACUUAGUUAGUAUCAAUAAGGGCCGGUUAACCUCGUGCCAGCCACCGCGGUUAUACGAGGGACCCAAGUUGACAGAAAACGGCGUAAAGAGUGGUUAAUGAGAGACAUGAUAAAGCCAAAUACCAUCAAGGCUGUUAUACGCAUCCGAUAGCAAGAGGAACCCACACGAAAGUAGCUUUAGUAAGCAUGACCCCACGAAAGCUAGGGAACAAACCGGGAUUAGAUACCCCGCUAUGCCCAGCCGUAAACAAAGGUGACGCCUCACUACGUCAUUCGCCCGGGUACAACGAGCCCCAGCUUAAAACCCAAAGGACUUGGCGGUGCUUUAGACCCCCCUAGAGGAGCCUGUUCUAGAAUCGAUUUUCCCCGUUCAACCUCACCCCCUCUUGUUCUUCCCGCCUGUAUACCGCCGUCGUCAGCUUACCCUGUGAAGGUAAAGUAGUAAGCACAAUUGGCACAGCCCAAAAAGUCAGGUCAAGGUGUAGCGUAUGAGGGGGGAAGAAAUGGGCUACAUUUGCUGGGUCAGCAAAUACGGAUGUUGCACUGAAAUAAGCAUCUGAAGGAGGAUUUAGUAGUAAGGCAAGACAAGAGAGCUUCCCUGAAACCGGCCCUGAAGCGCGCACACACCGCCCGUCACUCUCCCCGAUGGACCUAGUAAUAUAAUUAAUAACGCAAAAGACACUAAGGGGAGGUAAGUCGUAACAUGGUAAGUUUACCGGAAGGUGUACUUGGAUUAAACCC
This 949-nucleotide non-coding RNA is filed under the name Gobius bucchichi (Bucchich's goby). RNAcentral's name for it is "partial 12S ribosomal RNA". It matches the Rfam family "Bacterial small subunit ribosomal RNA". The record is from RNAcentral. Lineage: Eukaryota; Metazoa; Chordata; Actinopteri; Gobiiformes; Gobiidae.